UACGUAAGUUGCUAGCGUUGUCCGGAUUUACUGGGCGUAAAGAACGCGUAGGCGGUUUGUUAAGUUGAAGGUGAAAUCGUUGGGCCCAACCCAGCAACUGCCUUCAAAACUGAUGAACUAGAGUGCAGGAGGGGAAGAUGGUAUUCCUGGUGUAGCGGUGAAAUGCGUAGAUAUCAGGGAGAACACCAAUGGCGAAAGCAGUCUUCUGGAAUGCAACUGACGCUGAGGCGUGAAAGCGUGGGGAGCGAAC
Molecule: ribosomal RNA, 250 nt
Filed under: uncultured bacterium
Lineage: Bacteria
Description: partial 16S ribosomal RNA
Rfam family: Bacterial small subunit ribosomal RNA
Source: RNAcentral